Molecule: ribosomal RNA, 482 nt
Filed under: uncultured bacterium
Lineage: Bacteria
Description: partial 16S ribosomal RNA
Rfam family: Bacterial small subunit ribosomal RNA
Source: RNAcentral
AUUGAACGCUGGCGGCAUGCCUUACACAUGCAAGUCGAACGGUAACGGGCCUUCGGGUGCCGACGAGUGGCGAACGGGUGAGUAAUACAUCGGAACGUGCCCGAUCGUGGGGGAUAACGAGGCGAAAGCUUUGCUAAUACCGCAUACGAUCUACGGAUGAAAGCAGGGGACCGCAAGGCCUUGCGCGAACGGAGCGGCCGAUGGCAGAUUAGGUAGUUGGUGGGAUAAAAGCUUACCAAGCCGACGAUCUGUAGCUGGUCUGAGAGGAUGAUCAGCCACACUGGGACUGAGACACGGCCCAGACUCCUACGGGAGGCAGCAGUGGGGAAUUUUGGACAAUGGGCGCAAGCCUGAUCCAGCCAUGCCGCGUGCAGGAUGAAGGCCUUCGGGUUGUAAACUGCUUUUGUACGGAACGAAAAGCCUUCUUUUAAUACAGGAGGGUCAUGACGGUACCGUAAGAAUAAGCACCGGCUAACUACGUG